This is a non-coding RNA of Pelobates cultripes (western spadefoot toad), 389 nucleotides long. The record is from the annotation of a GenBank genome assembly. Lineage: Eukaryota; Metazoa; Chordata; Amphibia; Anura; Pelobatidae.
UUAAUUCAGAUAUAGAUCUCAUAUGCUUAAUCUAAAAGACUCGUAAUAGAAGAUUAGUAACUUGACCAGGUACUCAGAUGACCCUGUUGAGUCAAAGUUGGGAAGUCAAAAUUGGUACAUAGGCAAUGUAUUAUUUAUAAGAAACAUGAGCAAAAAAACAAACAAAAAAACAUGUUCCAGAUGUGAAUGCUUAAAAAGUUCUCAAAGCUACAGCACCAAGUACAUCAUUAGUUAAAUAUAUAUAUAUAUUUUUUUUAAGUGGAAACCGACAGAGUGAAAUAAAACAUUCUUGUUAUUUUUUAUUGUACAGCUGCUGCAUUAUUAUUUAAUUACAUUAUUAUAUGCCUAUUGUAGGAAAACAUGCAGAGACACACUGCACACCAACAUAC